UGACGCUACCUCGUUCUUUCCGAUGUCUUGCCCCUCUCCCCUCUCUAUUUGCGCACCAGCUAUAAAACAACUACCAUUUCUUCAAUCUUCAUAUUCUCUUUGUAUGAAAAAUCACUUUUUUUUAAUGAAAAAGCCUGCCAUUUGAUUGUAAAAAAUUCACAGAAAAAGGAAAUAAUCAGAAAUGUGUGGAGGAGCUAUAAUAUCGGAUUUGUUGCUGCCGAGCCGAACAUCGCGCAAGCUGACUGCUGACUUGCUAUGGGGCAGUGGCGGCGGCCCCGCCGCCGAUCUGGGCAACGGCAAGAGGAAGAUUCCGGGGAGUAACCACUCAAAACCACUGAGAUCUAAGCCGGUUGUUCAUAUUGACGAUGAUUUCGAGGCUGAUUUUCAGGACUUUAAGGAUCGCUCCGAUGAUGAAGUGGUGACCGAUGUCAAGCCUUUUGCCUUCUCUGCUUCCAAAAACUCCAACCUUCGGGGUAAUUAAAUAUAUUUUUUUUAAUCCUUUUUUCCCCUUAUUUUAUUAUUGUUUUCAGGGUUUUUAUUUUUUUAUUUUUAUAUAAUCGUCUGAUGUUUGUUGCUUGAUGUAAAUAGCUAACGUUUUGAUGUUAGAAAUGUUGUUUUUGACUCUGAUAAUUAGCUCUAGUGCUUGAUUACGAUUUCCUGUUUUAGGAUAGAUGUUUGGAUAUUACAUAAGUUUUUAGUGAGAAAAUAUUGAUUUUUGUGGUUGUGAAUGAUAUAAUUGGGUUGGUUUUGUGUUAUUUUUUGGAUUAAAAAUUGCAAUUUAUCGAUAUUAAUGUGGAUUUAAGAAUGAUCUUGUGGAAAUAUUGGAAUAUGUAUGGAGUUGCUAUUUUGAUGAAAGGUUUUUGUUUGGAAGAAAAAAAUAAAAAAAUGGGGAUUGAUAUCAGCGUUUCUGAUUUAUGUUUCUUUUGAUACAAUCAGAUAUAUCUGGGAUUAGAUAAUCAUUUUUAUCUAAAUUUGCUCAUUCUGAAACUAAUAUUUUUUAUCCAGACUAGAUCAUAAGAAUGAUCUUUCUGCAAGAGAGAGAAAAUUUCCUUGAUCUCUCACAUAAGUUUGUAAUUUUAUUUUAUUCUUCCUUGAGGUUGGUGUGGGAUUCAAAAUUGCUCAUGUCAAAUGCAAGAUUCAAUUGUCUUACAUCAAAACCUGGUCUUUCAGAAUUUCUGUUUCUCUUUGAUAUUGUAGGGGAAAGGAAAUAACUGGAUGAAUAUAAAUUUUGAAUGUUAAUCAUGUAAGUUUCAGCAAAACUUGUAAUAUUCUCUCUCUCAGGUUGAUUAGAUGUACGGUUCUUACGUUUUCAUGACUUUGAUAGUACUUCCAUGAACAUCGAGAUUGUUUGUAUUCGGUUUCUGAAUCAGAGUAGAAGCAUUUUUUGCAUUGAGAACAAACAUUGUGUCUCUUUGUUUUUUCACUUGUGGGGAUAGAUGAAGCAAUUGGAUUAUAUAAACUGAAAUCCCUUUUUUUUUUUUUUUUUCAAAUUAAAUCUGUGUUUGUAAUUUUAUGGUAUCUUGAUCUCUUGCUUCAACUUUGUUUAUAUUAUUCUUUUUNGACUUCGGGUGGGGAGAAAAUUGUGCUAAAACUCCAGAAAUUUCAUCCGUCCUCUCGGCUGUUGUUGAAGACAAUCAAACUCAAUUUGUGGAGGAUGCUAGCCCAGCAAAGAAACUCAAGUCAGAUUCUGGAGAUCUGGUGCCUGCUGCUGAAAACACCGAAGAUCCAUCGUUUGAGUCCCAGAUGAAGCCCUUUCAGAUGCCAUAUCUGGAUGGAAAUUGGGAAGCUUCACUCGAUGCAUUCCUCAAUGGAGAUGCAAUUCAAGAUGGUGGGAACGAAAUGGAUCUUUGGUCAUUUGAUGAUGUUCCAGCCAUGCUGGGUGGAGUUUACUGAGCACCAUUUCUGGCUAUCUGUACAUAAAUCUUCAUGUUAGUGAAUUUUGUCUCUUUUUCAGCUCUUAAUAUCUUUAUUUAAAUCCAAUCUGCACUUGAUAAAGCAUAACCGCUUGCUGGUUUUCUCCCUUUUUGUCUUCUUAGGUGCGUUGUUGAUGGUCGUCGUGGAUGGAAAUUCAAGCAUGCUUUGGUGCUGUAGAAGACUGGCUAAAUAAGCAUUACAUAGGCAAUAGGGAUCGAACUAUCUUUUGAGACUUUUAAUUUGGGAUGAUUUUAAAUUUGUCUGUGUGGAUGUUAAAAGACACGUAAACUGAUGUUUCUGUUAUGCCGUGUUUGUUGGUUGCUACAUUAUAUCUUUCUUCUUGUAGACGUAUGCUAUUUUUCCUAAAGCAUUAUGACUUCAUUACCAGCGUCUUGUUUUCUGUAUACUAAGGUGGAGAUAGGAUUCGAGACCCUGUUUUCCUUCUCUUUCGGUCGAUUUUUGAAUCCUAAACUGCUUCUCUUGUGACUAUGAAGUUUAGAAUUAAUAGAAUGAGAUCAGUAUGUGUGUCUAGAAAAUAUUCAACUGUUAGUUUUUGAAUCAGGAAGUCCUGAAAUAGCAUGUUUUAAUACGGUACAAUAAAUAAGAUUUUAUUGUCUUUUUAUUUUUUAAUAUUUGUUCAACUCUAUUCGAUACGAGCAGGUAGGACUGGUAGCACCAUUGACUUGGUAUAGAAUUUUAGGAAGCGUGUGCAGCAGCAGUUUAGAUACUAUGAGUAUUUGCAAGUUUGGUUGAGAAUAUUAGGUGAACAGACGCUGUCUGAUUUGAUAUAAUUUUAAGGAGUUUUCUUAGGCUACAUAAUUUGGUGUACCGAAGGGUGUACACCUUUUACAUGGUGGGGUAUACUUGAAUAUUUUAUUAACGUGGAUCCUUUUUUUUUUU
This 2814-nucleotide long non-coding RNA is filed under the name Olea europaea subsp. europaea. Lineage: Eukaryota; Viridiplantae; Streptophyta; Magnoliopsida; Lamiales; Oleaceae. The record is from RNAcentral.